UGACGUGGGGGGGUUGAUCCCCCCCCCCCGGCACUGGGUGCAAGCCCCAGAAACCGACGCCUAUCUAAGUAGACGCAAUGACUCGGCGCCGACUCGGCGACCGGCCAAAAGGUGGUGGAUGGGUGAUGACAGGGUUGGUAGGUCGUAAAUCCCGGUCAUCCUGGUAGCCACUAUAGGUGGGUCUUAAGAGAAGGUCAAGAUUCCUCUUACGCCUGCGGCGAGACCGCGCACGGUCCACAGGUGUUGGCCCUACCGGUGUGAAUAAGGGCCCGACAUCAGGCAUGUCGUUAAACCGAGCCCGUUACCCGCCUGGGCAAACGACGCCCACGUACGGUCCACGUCGCCCUUCAAUGUCUCUCUUGACCAAUAGGUUUAUCCGGCGAGUUGGCAAGGACCAGUGGGGGCCGGGGGCUAUGGGGAAGGACCCCAAGCCCUGCCCAUCCCGGCGGGCCGGGAAAUGCAUGGGGCCACCCAGCUCCGCGGCGGCCUGCAGCCGGGGUAGCCCAAGAAUCCUUCGGGUGAGGGCGGGUGGCAUUUUCUUUUUCUGUACCAUCAUGGCAGUCCUUCUGCUCCUUCUCGUGGUUGAGGCCGGGGCCAUUUUGGCCCCGGCCACCCAUGCUUGUCGAGCGAAUGGGCAAUAUUUCCUCACAAAUUGUUGCGCCCCAGAAGACAUUGGGUUCUGCCUUGAAGGUGGAUGCCUAGUGGCGUUGGGGUGCACAGUUUGUACUGACCGAUGCUGGCCACUGUAUCAGGCGGGUUUGGCUGUGCGGCCCGGCAAGUCCGCAGCUCAGCUGGUGGGAGAACUGGGGAGCCUCUACGGGCCCUUAUCGGUCUCGGCCUACGUGGCCGGGAUCUUGGGCCUGGGUGAGGUGUACUCAGGUGUCUUAACAGUUGGUGUUGCGUUGACGCGGCGGGUCUACCCGAUGCCCAACCUCACGUGUGCAGUAGAGUGUGAGCUUAAGUGGGAAAGUGAGUUUUGGAGAUGGACUGAGCGGUUGGCCUCCAAUUACUGGAUUCUGGAAUAUCUCUGGAAGGUCCCGUUUGACUUCUGGAGGGGUGUGAUGAGCUUGACCCCCUUGCUGGUUUGCGUGGCCGCUUUGCUACUGUUGGAGCAACGGAUUGUCAUGGUCUUCCUGCUGGUGACGAUGGCCGGGAUGUCGCAAGGCGCCCCGGCCUCCGUUUUGGGGUCCCGCCCCUUUGACUACGGGUUGACAUGGCAGUCCUGUUCCUGCAGGGCGAAUGGGUCGCGUAUCCCUACUGGGGAGAAGGUGUGGGACCGUGGGAACGUCACGCUUCUGUGUGACUGCCCCAACGGCCCGUGGGUGUGGCUGCCGGCCUUUUGCCAGGCAAUAGGCUGGGGCGACCCAAUCACCCACUGGAGCCACGGACAAAAUCAGUGGCCCCUGUCAUGCCCUCAGUAUGUCUACGGGUCUGUUUCUGUCACAUGCGUGUGGGGCUCCGUGUCUUGGUUUGCCUCGACAGGCGGACGCGAUUCGAAAAUCGACGUGUGGAGUUUGGUUCCAGUUGGUUCUGCCAGCUGCACCAUAGCUGCACUCGGUUCUUCGGACCGCGAUACGGUGGUCGAGCUCUCUGAGUGGGGGGUCCCGUGCGUAACGUGUAUUCUGGAUCGUCGGCCUGCCUCGUGUGGCACCUGUGUGCGGGACUGCUGGCCCGAAACCGGGUCGGUUAGAUUCCCUUUCCAUCGGUGCGGCACAGGCCCUCGGCUGACAAAGGACUUGGAAGCUGUGCCCUUCGUCAACAGGACAACUCCCUUCACCAUAAGGGGUCCCCUGGGCAACCAGGGGAGAGGUAACCCGGUGCGGUCACCCCUGGGUUUUGGGUCCUACACCAUGACCAAAAUCCGGGACUCCUUGCAUUUGGUGAAAUGUCCCACACCAGCCAUUGAGCCUCCCACUGGGACGUUCGGGUUUUUCCCCGGAGUGCCGCCCCUCAACAACUGCAUGCUGCUGGGCACGGAAGUGUCCGAAGCAUUAGGUGGGGCUGGCCUUACGGGGGGAUUCUAUGAACCCUUGGUGCGCAGGUGUUCGGAGCUGAUGGGACGCCGAAAUCCGGUCUGCCCGGGGUAUGCAUGGCUUUCCUCGGGUCGGCCUGAUGGGUUUAUACAUGUUCAGGGACACUUGCAGGAGGUUGAUGCAGGCAACUUCAUCCCCCCUCCACGCUGGUUGCUCCUGGACUUUGUAUUUGUCCUAUUAUACCUGAUGAAGCUGGCUGAGGCACGGCUGGUCCCGUUGAUCUUGCUUCUGCUGUGGUGGUGGGUCAACCAGUUGGCGGUCCUUGGGCUGCCAGCUGUGCACGCCGCCGUGGCUGGCGAGGUUUUUGUGGGCCCGGCCCUGUCGUGGUGCUUAGGUCUCCCCACUGUUAGCAUGAUACUCGGUCUGGCAAACCUUGUGUUGUACUUUCGGUGGAUGGGGCCGCAGCGCCUCAUGUUCCUCGUGUUGUGGAAGCUCGCUCGGGGGGCUUUCCCGCUGGCUCUUCUGAUGGGGAUCUCGGCGACCCGCGGGCGCACCUCCGUGCUCGGGGCCGAGUUCUGCUUCGAUGUCACAUUCGAGGUGGACACGUCGGUGCUGGGCUGGGUGGUGGCCAGUGUGGUAGCCUGGGCCAUUGCGCUCCUGAGCUCGAUGAGCGCGGGAGGGUGGAGGCACAAGGCCGUGAUCUACAGAACGUGGUGUAAAGGGUACCAGGCUAUUCGCCAAAGGGUGGUGAGGUCCCCUCUCGGGGAGGGGCGGCCAACCAAACCCCUGACGUUUGCCUGGUGCUUGGCCUCAUACAUCUGGCCAGAUGCUGUGAUGUUGGUGGUGGUUGCCUUGGUGCUUCUGUUCGGCCUGUUCGACGCGUUGGACUGGGCCCUGGAGGAGCUCUUGGUUUCCCGGCCCUCGUUGCGGCGUUUGGCGCGGGUGGUUGAGUGCUGUGUGAUGGCGGGUGAGAAGGCCACAACUGUCCGACUGGUUUCCAAGAUGUGCGCGAGAGGGGCCUACUUGUUCGACCAUAUGGGCUCUUUCUCGCGCGCCGUCAAGGAGCGCUUGUUGGAAUGGGACGCGGCUUUGGAACCACUGUCAUUCACUAGGACGGACUGUCGCAUCAUAAGAGAUGCCGCGAGAACCCUGUCCUGCGGACAGUGCGUCAUGGGGCUACCCGUGGUAGCGCGCCGCGGUGAUGAGGUGCUCAUCGGCGUCUUUCAGGAUGUGAAUCAUUUGCCUCCCGGGUUCGUCCCGACCGCGCCCGUUGUCAUCCGGCGGUGCGGGAAGGGGUUCCUGGGGGUCACUAAGGCUGCCUUGACAGGUCGGGAUCCUGACUUGCAUCCAGGGAACGUCAUGGUGUUGGGGACUGCGACGUCGCGAAGCAUGGGAACGUGUUUGAACGGCUUGCUCUUCACAACUUUCCAUGGGGCUUCAUCCCGAACCAUCGCUACACCUGUGGGGGCCCUAAAUCCCAGGUGGUGGUCGGCAAGUGAUGAUGUCACGGUGUACCCCCUCCCGGAUGGGGCAACCUCGUUAACACCCUGCACUUGCCAGGCUGAGUCCUGUUGGGUCAUCCGAUCAGACGGGGCUUUAUGCCAUGGCUUGAGCAAGGGGGACAAGGUAGAGCUGGAUGUGGCCAUGGAGGUCUCUGAUUUCCGUGGCUCCUCUGGUUCACCUGUCUUGUGUGACGAGGGACACGCAGUAGGAAUGCUCGUGUCAGUGCUUCACUCGGGUGGUCGGGUCACCGCGGCUCGAUUCACUAGGCCGUGGACCCAAGUUCCAACAGAUGCCAAAACUACCACUGAACCCCCUCCGGUGCCAGCCAAAGGAGUUUUCAAAGAGGCCCCGUUGUUUAUGCCUACGGGCGCGGGAAAGAGCACGCGCGUCCCGUUGGAGUACGGCAACAUGGGGCACAAGGUCUUAAUCCUAAACCCCUCAGUGGCUACUGUGAGAGCCAUGGGCCCUUACAUGGAGCGACUGGCGGGCAAACAUCCAAGCAUAUACUGUGGCCAUGACACCACUGCUUUCACGAGGAUUACUGACUCCCCCCUGACGUAUUCUACCUAUGGGAGGUUUCUGGCCAACCCUAGGCAGAUGCUCCGGGGGGUUUCGGUGGUCAUCUGUGACGAGUGCCACAGCCAUGACUCAACUGUGUUACUGGGCAUCGGGCGAGUACGGGAGCUGGCGCGCGGCUGUGGAGUGCAGCUUGUGCUCUACGCCACUGCCACACCUCCCGGGUCCCCUAUGACCCAGCACCCAUCAAUUAUUGAGACCAAACUGGAUGUGGGAGAGAUCCCCUUCUAUGGGCAUGGCAUACCCCUCGAGCGAAUGCGAACCGGUAGGCAUCUUGUAUUCUGCCAUUCCAAGGCGGAGUGUGAGCGCCUUGCCGGCCAGUUUUCCGCGAGGGGGGUCAACGCCAUCGCCUAUUAUAGGGGAAAGGACAGUUCUAUCAUCAAGGACGGUGACCUGGUGGUGUGUGCCACAGACGCACUAUCCACCGGGUACACUGGGAACUUCGAUUCUGUCACUGAUUGUGGGUUAGUGGUGGAGGAGGUCGUUGAGGUGACCCUUGAUCCCACCAUUACCAUCUCCCUGCGGACAGUGCCUGCGUCGGCAGAAUUGUCGAUGCAACGGCGAGGACGCACGGGUAGAGGCAGGUCUGGACGCUACUACUACGCAGGGGUGGGCAAAGCCCCUGCGGGUGUGGUGCGCUCAGGUCCUGUCUGGUCAGCGGUGGAAGCCGGAGUGACCUGGUACGGAAUGGAACCUGACUUGACAGCAAACCUACUGAGACUUUACGACGACUGCCCUUACACCGCAGCCGUCGCGGCUGACAUCGGCGAGGCCGCCGUGUUUUUCUCCGGGCUUGCCCCGUUGAGGAUGCACCCCGAUGUUAGCUGGGCAAAAGUGCGCGGCGUCAAUUGGCCCCUCUUGGUGGGUGUUCAGCGGACCAUGUGCCGGGAAACACUGUCUCCCGGUCCAUCGGACGACCCCCAAUGGGCAGGUCUGAAGGGCCCAAAUCCUGUUCCACUACUGCUGAGGUGGGGCAAUGAUUUACCAUCUAAGGUGGCCGGCCACCACAUUGUUGACGACCUGGUUCGUAGGCUCGGUGUGGCGGAGGGUUACGUCCGCUGCGACGCGGGGCCCAUCUUGAUGGUGGGCCUUGCCAUAGCAGGGGGCAUGAUCUACGCGUCUUACACCGGGUCAUUGGUGGUGGUGACAGACUGGGAUGUGAAGGGGGGUGGCAGCCCCCUUUAUCGGCAUGGAGACCAGGCCACGCCCCAGCCGGUUGUGCAGGUCCCCCCGGUAGACCAUCGGCCGGGGGGGGAAUCUGCGCCAUCGGAUGCCAAGACAGUGACAGAUGCGGUGGCGGCCAUCCAGGUGGAUUGCGAUUGGUCAGUUAUGACCCUGUCGAUCGGGGAAGUACUGUCCUUAGCUCAGGCUAAGACGGCCGAGGCCUACACAGCAACCGCCAAGUGGCUCGCUGGCUGCUACACGGGGACGCGGGCCGUCCCUACUGUUUCAAUUGUUGACAAGCUCUUUGCCGGAGGGUGGGCUGCCGUGGUGGGCCAUUGCCACAGCGUCAUAGCUGCGGCGGUGGCGGCCUACGGGGCUUCCAGAAGCCCGCCGUUGGCGGCCGCGGCUUCCUACCUGAUGGGAUUGGGCGUCGGAGGUAACGCGCAGACGCGCUUGGCAUCCGCUCUCCUAUUGGGGGCUGCUGGUACCGCCCUGGGCACGCCUGUCGUGGGACUAACCAUGGCAGGUGCGUUCAUGGGGGGUGCCAGCGUCUCCCCCUCCUUGGUCACUAUUCUACUAGGGGCCGUGGGAGGUUGGGAGGGCGUUGUCAACGCGGCAAGCCUUGUCUUCGACUUUAUGGCGGGGAAGCUUUCAUCAGAAGAUCUGUGGUAUGCCAUCCCGGUGCUAACCAGUCCUGGGGCGGGCCUUGCGGGGAUCGCUCUUGGUCUGGUUUUGUACUCAGCUAACAACUCUGGCACUACCACUUGGCUGAACCGUCUGCUGACUACGUUGCCGAGGUCCUCGUGCAUUCCUGACAGCUACUUCCAGCAGGCUGACUACUGCGACAAGGUUUCGGCCGUGCUCCGCCGAUUGAGCCUGACCCGCACAGUGGUGGCCCUGGUCAACAGGGAACCCAAGGUGGAUGAGGUGCAGGUGGGGUACGUCUGGGAUCUCUGGGAGUGGAUCAUGCGACAGGUUCGCAUGGUCAUGGCCAGGCUCCGGGCCCUCUGCCCCGUGGUGUCACUCCCGUUGUGGCAUUGCGGGGAGGGUUGGUCCGGGGAAUGGCUGUUGGACGGUCAUGUGGAGAGCCGCUGUCUUUGUGGAUGUGUGAUAACCGGUGACGUUUUGAAUGGGCAACUCAAAGAACCAGUUUACUCUACCAAGCUGUGCAGGCACUAUUGGAUGGGGACCGUUCCUGUGAACAUGCUGGGUUACGGCGAAACAUCCCCUCUCCUGGCUUCCGACACUCCAAAGGUGGUUCCUUUUGGGACGUCGGGCUGGGCUGAGGUGGUGGUGACCCCUACCCACGUGGUGAUCAGGAGGACCUCUUCCUACAAGUUGCUGCGCCAGCAAAUCCUAUCAGCUGCUGUUGCUGAGCCCUAUUAUGUUGAUGGCAUACCGGUCUCAUGGGACGCAGAUGCUCGUGCACCUGCUAUGGUUUAUGGCCCUGGGCAAAGUGUUACCAUUGACGGGGAGCGCUACACCCUGCCGCACCAGUUGCGGCUUAGGAAUGUGGCGCCCUCUGAGGUUUCAUCCGAGGUGUCCAUAGACAUUGGGACGGAGACUGAAGACUCAGAACUGACUGAGGCCGACCUGCCACCAGCAGCUGCUGCUCUCCAAGCGAUCGAGAAUGCUGCGAGGAUUCUUGAACCGCACAUUGAUGUCAUCAUGGAGGACUGCAGUACACCCUCUCUUUGUGGGAGUAGCCGAGAGAUGCCUGUGUGGGGAGAAGACGUCCCCCGCACUCCAUCGCCAGCACUUAUCUCGGUUACCGAGAGCAGCUCAGAUGAGAAGACCCCGUCGGUGUCCUCUUCGCAGGAGGAUACCCCGUCCUCAGACUCAUUCGAGGUCAUCCAAGAGUCCGAGACAGCUGAAGGGGAGGAAAGCGUCUUCAACGUGGCUCUUUCCGUAUUAAAAGCCUUGUUUCCACAGAGCGAUGCUACCAGAAAGCUUACCGUCAAGAUGUCUUGCUGUGUCGAGAAGAGCGUCACACGCUUCUUUUCGUUAGGGUUGACGGUGGCCGACGUGGCUAGCCUGUGUGAAAUGGAAAUCCAGAACCAUACAGCCUAUUGUGACAAGGUGCGCACUCCGCUUGAAUUGCAGGUUGGGUGCUUGGUGGGCAAUGAACUUACCUUUGAAUGUGACAAGUGUGAGGCCAGGCAAGAGACCUUGGCUUCCUUCUCCUACAUCUGGUCUGGAGUGCCAUUGACUAGGGCCACUCCGGCUAAACCACCUGUGGUGAGGCCGGUGGGGUCCCUGUUAGUGGCUGACACUACUAAAGUGUAUGUUACCAACCCAGACAAUGUGGGGAGGAGGGUAGACAAGGUGACCUUCUGGCGCGCUCCUAGGGUUCAUGACAAAUUCCUUGUGGACUCGAUCGAGCGUGCUAAGAGGGCCGCUCAAGCCUGCCUAAGCAUGGGUUACACUUAUGAGGAGGCAAUAAGGACUGUAAGGCCACAUGCUGCCAUGGGCUGGGGAUCUAAGGUGUCGGUCAAGGACUUGGCCACCCCUGCGGGGAAGAUGGCGGUUCACGACCGGCUUCAGGAGAUACUUGAAGGGACGCCAGUCCCCUUUACUCUUACUGUGAAAAAGGAGGUGUUCUUCAAAGACCGUAAGGAGGAGAAGGCCCCCCGCCUCAUUGUGUUCCCCCCCCUGGACUUCCGGAUAGCUGAAAAGCUUAUCUUGGGAGAUCCAGGGCGGGUGGCCAAGGCGGUGUUGGGGGGGGCUUAUGCCUUCCAGUACACCCCAAACCAGCGGGUUAGGGAGAUGCUCAAACUGUGGGAAUCAAAGAAAACACCUUGCGCCAUCUGUGUGGAUGCCACGUGCUUCGACAGUAGUAUUACUGAAGAGGACGUGGCAUUGGAGACGGAGCUAUAUGCUCUGGCUUCCGACCAUCCAGAUUGGGUGCGAGCGUUGGGGAAAUACUAUGCCUCAGGCACCAUGGUCACCCCCGAGGGGGUGCCCGUGGGUGAGAGGUAUUGUAGAUCCUCCGGCGUCUUGACCACUAGUGCGAGCAACUGCUUGACUUGCUACAUCAAGGUGAAAGCCGCUUGUGAGAGGGUGGGGCUGAAGAACGUCUCACUCCUCAUAGCCGGCGAUGACUGUUUGAUCAUAUGCGAACGGCCGAUGUGUGAUCCUAGUGACGCCUUGGGUAGAGCCUUGGCUAGCUAUGGGUACGCGUGCGAGCCUUCGUAUCAUGCAUCAUUGGACACGGCCCCCUUCUGCUCCACUUGGCUUGCCGAGUGCAAUGCAGAUGGGAAGCGCCAUUUCUUCCUGACCACGGACUUUCGGAGGCCGCUCGCUCGCAUGUCGAGCGAGUACAGUGACCCUAUGGCUUCGGCCAUUGGUUACAUCCUCCUAUAUCCCUGGCACCCCAUCACACGGUGGGUCAUCAUCCCUCAUGUGCUUACUUGCGCUUUUAGGGGUGGUGGCACACCGUCUGAUCCGGUAUGGUGCCAGGUGCAUGGUAAUUACUACAAGUUUCCACUGGACAAACUGCCUAAUAUCAUCGUGGCCCUCCACGGACCAGCAGCGUUGAGGGUCACCGCAGACACAACCAAAACAAAAAUGGAAGCCGGUAAGGUGCUGAGCGACCUCAAGCUCCCUGGCCUGGCGGUCCACCGUAAGAAGGCUGGAGCAUUGCGAACACGCAUGCUCCGGUCGCGCGGUUGGGCUGAGCUGGCUAGGGGCCUGUUGUGGCAUCCAGGCCUCCGGCUCCCCCCUCCCGAGAUUGCUGGUAUCCCGGGGGGUUUCCCCCUUUCCCCCCCCUAUAUGGGGGUGGUUCAUCAAUUGGAUUUCACAAGCCAGAGGAGUCGCUGGCGGUGGUUGGGGUUCUUAGCCCUGCUCAUCGUGGCUCUCUUCGGGUGAACUAAAUUCAUCUGUUGCGGCAAGGUCCGGUGACUGAUCAUCACUGGAGGAGGUUCCCGCCCUCCCCGCCCCAGGGGUCUCCCCGCUGGGUAAAAAGGGCCCGGCCUUGGGAGGCAUGGUGGUUACUAACCCCCUGGCAGGGUCAAAGCCUGAUGGUGCUAAUGCACUGCCACUACGGUGGCGGGUCGCUACCUUAUAGCGUAAUCCGUGACUACGGGCUGCUCGCAGAGCCCUCCCCGGAUGGGGCACAGUGCACUGUGAUCUGAAGGGGUGCACCCCGGUAAGAGCUCGGCCCAAAGGCCGGGUUCUACU
RNAcentral lists this unclassified non-coding RNA (9395 nucleotides) under GB virus C. The record is from RNAcentral. Lineage: Riboviria; Orthornavirae; Kitrinoviricota; Flasuviricetes; Amarillovirales; Hepaciviridae.